This 868-nucleotide ribosomal RNA is filed under the name bacterium enrichment culture clone 080213-ABM-Friedland 50-03. RNAcentral's name for it is "bacterial SSU rRNA". It matches the Rfam family "Bacterial small subunit ribosomal RNA", at positions 9 to 873 of the family's 1533-position model. The record is from RNAcentral.
AGAGUUUGAUCCUGGCUCAGGACGAACGCUGGCGGCGUGCUUAACACAUGCAAGUCGAACGGGGUUUAGUCGAAAGAUUACUUUUAACUAAACCUAGUGGCGGACGGGUGAGUAACGCGUGGAUAACCUGCCCACUAGACUGGGAUAACGCCGGGAAACCGGUGCUAAUACCGGAUACGUUCACCGGAUUGCAUAAUCUGGUGAAGAAAGGUGCAAACCGCUAAUGGAUGGGUCCGCGUCCCAUUAGCUAGUUGGUAGGGUAACGGCCUACCAAGGCCACGAUGGGUAGCCGGCCUGAGAGGGCGACCGGCCACACUGGAACUGAGACACGGUCCAGACUCCUACGGGAGGCAGCAGUGGGGAAUCUUCCGCAAUGGGCGCAAGCCUGACGGAGCAACGCCGCGUGAGUGACGAAGGUCUUCGGAUUGUAAAACUCUGUCCAUAGGGAAGAACUAACUGACGGUACCUUUGGAGGAAGCCCCGGCUAACUACGUGCCAGCAGCCGCGGUAACACGUAGGGGGCGAGCGUUGUCCGGAAUUACUGGGCGUAAAGGGCGUGUAGGCGGCCAAGUAAGUCAGUCGUGAAACCCAGCGGCUUAACCGCUGGCUUGCGAUAGAAACUGCCUGGCUUGAGUGCAGUAGAGGGGAGUGGAAUUCCCAGUGUAGCGGUGAAAUGCGUAGAUAUUGGGAGGAACACCAGUGGCGAAAGCGGCUCCCUGGCCUGCAACUGACGCUGAGGCGCGAAAGCGUGGGUAGCAAACAGGAUUAGAUACCCUGGUAGUCCACGCCGUAAACGAUGGGUGCUAGGUGUUGGGGGUAUCGACCCCCCCAGUGCCGCAGUUAACGCAUAAGCACCCCGCCUGGGAGA